UCGCGAAAACUUCACAAUGGGAGAAAUCCCGAUGAGGGAAUUCCAAGUGCUAGCACUAUGUGUUAGCUGUUCUUUUGUCUAAAAAACAGAAGAAGUAAGGGCCGGGUAAGACGGGUGC
RNAcentral lists this ribosomal RNA (118 nucleotides) under uncultured archaeon. RNAcentral describes it as "partial 16S ribosomal RNA". It matches the Rfam family "Archaeal small subunit ribosomal RNA", at positions 339 to 458 of the family's 1478-position model. The record is from RNAcentral.